AAUAUGUAUUUAUGUAUGUCUGAGCUUAUGGCGACAUAAAUCUGAAUAUACACAUUUAUGUACAUUCAUAUGUACAUAUGUAUGUUUGUAUGAACAUUCAACCCAAAACAGUUCCCUUAAUUUUGUUUUUGCGGCUGUUUGUCUGCUUUUCCCCUUUUAUUUUCUGCUUCAGCGGACAACAUAAUUCCAAAGGCCAACUCGGCUCAAUUUCUUGAUAAUGAUGAUGCUUCAAUCUGUGCCUGCUCUGUCGCUUAAUGGAGAAAGAAACUGGAUUUUAAAUGAAGGAAUGUAUGUUUGUAUGUACAUACGUGUACAUACAUACGUAUAUACGUAAACAAACAUAUACAUAUAUAUGUAUACAUGUAUGAAAAAGACGAAAACGUUUUUUCCUUUUGGUUUCGAUCCGCUGACUAAUUAAGCCUUUAAAUUUGUACUGGACCAAGAAACAGGAGAGGAAAAUAAAGUCAUUGGGCUCCGCUCCACUAAAGAUACGUGAUAGGAAAACCGGUGCGAUGUCCAUUAUUUCCCAUACAUUUUCGAUCACAUUUAAAUCUGGAGACUGUGCUGGCGUUAUGACGACAUGAGGCAGUUCCAGACAAGCCAAGUCUUCACAAUUGCUGCUGAAUGUUUUGGAACGUUAUCCUGGUAAUACCGAAAUCGAUCGCGUAUGCGAACCUGCAGCAGGUUUUGCUUUAAAAUUUGCUCCAAAUGGAAUGCAACUUUCUGUAGAACUCCGGCAGUUAAUAGUAAAACUGAACUUUAAAGGCAAAACUGUGAGAGAAAUUGCUGAAUUGGUCGGAAAAAGCAAGUCUACUGUCCAUCACAUUAUCAAGAACCAAACUGGUAAAGAUGUUUGCUUGAAUACUGCGUAAUACUUCGCAUAAAUAGGAUUACCAUGACAGAGUUGCCAGGAAAAAGCCUUUUAUCAGCCCCAAGAACAAAAAGUGCAGUGUUUAAUUUGCAAAGGAAUAUUUGCUGAAAACAGGAGAGCUCUGGAAGACGGUUCUAUUUACCGACGGAAGUAAAUUUAAUUUACAUGGCUCAGACAGAAAGAUGUUUGUAUAGCGCAAACUAAACUCCGAAUUCGAGCCGAAAAACACAAAGGCCACAGUAAAACAUGGAGAAUGUUCUGUGAUGGUUUUGGGGCUGCAUGUCUAAUGCUGGAGUGGAACAAUUUAUUUUAUAUCAUUUUUGGCUACCUUAACAUUUAAAACAAUGUAUAGCUUUGUUGUUUACAAUUUUCUUGGGACUUGGUGAUUUUUAAGUACUAUGGAAUUACGGACUUAAAUUAA
Molecule: long non-coding RNA, 1292 nt
Organism: Drosophila rhopaloa
Lineage: Eukaryota; Metazoa; Arthropoda; Insecta; Diptera; Drosophilidae
Exons: 4
Source: RefSeq, a predicted model, not a curated record